CCUACGGGCGGCAGCAGUGAGGAAUAUUGGUCAAUGGGCGCGAGCCUGAACCAGCCAAGUCGCGUGAAGGAUGACUGCCCUACGGGUUGUAAACUUCUUUUAUAAAGGAAUAAAGUGAGGCACGUGUGCCUUUUUGUAUGUACUUUAUGAAUAAGGAUCGGCUAACUCCGUGCCAGCAGCCGCGGUAAUACGGAGGAUCCGAGCGUUAGCCGGUUUUAUUGGGUUUAAAGGGAGCGUAGAUGGGUUGUUAAGUCAGUUGUGAAAGUUUGCGGCUAAACCGUAAAAUUGCAAUUGAUACUGGCAGCCUUGAGUACAGAUGAGGUAGGAGGAAUGCGUGGUGUAGCGAUGAAAUGCUUAGAUAUCACGAAGAACUCCGAUUGCGAAGGCAGCUUACGAAACUGCCACUGACAUUGAUGCUCGAAAGUGUGGGUAUCAAACAGGAUUAGAUACCCGUGUAGUC
RNAcentral lists this ribosomal RNA (460 nucleotides) under uncultured bacterium. RNAcentral's name for it is "partial 16S ribosomal RNA". It matches the Rfam family "Bacterial small subunit ribosomal RNA", at positions 338 to 795 of the family's 1533-position model. The record is from RNAcentral.